RNAcentral lists this long non-coding RNA (244 nucleotides) under Brassica rapa (field mustard). RNAcentral describes it as "long non-coding RNA (BRAP_LNC007198)". Lineage: Eukaryota; Viridiplantae; Streptophyta; Magnoliopsida; Brassicales; Brassicaceae. The record is from RNAcentral.
UUAUAACGAAAUCAUCCAAUCUACUCCACUCCUACAUUUUAUUAAAUACUAAUUAGCCUCCAAUCUGUUAACUUAUCAACGUUUGUAUGCAUGCGCAUUGUAUGAAAAAAAAUGUCUUGAGACGUUAGUUAUUGGGCUUAUUUGCUGAAUAGCCAAAAAAAAAAGUGAAAUUAGAUUUUUAAAGAGAGAGUAGAGAGAGAUAGGGAAAGAAAGUAGGAGAGGGGGUGUUUUUAGUUAGUUAGUG